This 893-nucleotide unclassified non-coding RNA is filed under the name Hevea brasiliensis (rubber tree). Lineage: Eukaryota; Viridiplantae; Streptophyta; Magnoliopsida; Malpighiales; Euphorbiaceae. The record is from RNAcentral.
UUUACAUAAUGGUAAGUCUAUUACUAAAAUUAUUCCUAUUACUGUUUUUUCAUUUGCUGGACCUAGGGUUGGAAAUCUUAAAUUUAAAGAAAGAUGUGAAGAGCUUGGAAUUAAAGUUUUAAGAGUUGUGAAUGUGCAUGACAAAGUGCCGAAAGUGCCUGGAAUUAUUGCAAAUGAGAAAUUUCAAUUCCAAAAGCAAUUGGAAGAGAAAUUUUCAUUUGCUUGGAGUUAUGCUCAUGUAGGGGCGGAGUUAGCUUUAGAUCAUCAUCGUUCUCCUUUUCUAAAGCCCAAUAGUGAUUUGGGCUCUGCUCAUAACCUUGAGGCCCAUUUACAUCUUGUUGAUGGGUACCAUGGGAAGGUACGCGCCUUUCGCUCUGCCACGAGUAGGGAUGUUGCCCUAGUCAAUAAGGAUUCGAGUUUCUUGAAGGAGGAGUAUGGUGUGCCACCAUUUUGGUGGCAAGAUGAGAACAAAGGCAUGGUGAGAACGAGCGAUGGGCAAUGGGUGUUGCCGGAGAGGCCCAUAAUUGAGGCCCAUCCACCCGAUACGGCCCAUCAUUUUCAACAAGUCCUUAAACUUGCGAGAGCUAGGUUAAAUUUACCAUAAUUAUUAUUAAUAAGUUGUGUUUUUACCUUUCAAUAAAGUCAUAAGUAGACUUGCUAGCUAUGAAGAGAGGUUGUGUGUUUUGUUCUUCUUUUUCAUUUAUUGAAAAUUGGGGGACGGAAAAUAGGAAGGAGAUUAUUAUAUGGAAAAUCAAACUCUUACCAAUACGGUAAGAGUUCAGAUAGUCAAUCAAUUAUGAGCUACUAAAAUUCCACGGCAUAUGGAUUUGUGUAUGUCAAUUGGUGCUUUGAAGACUAUUGUGAUGCUCAAUUAUUAAUAAAGUGACUAAGAA